Molecule: non-coding RNA, 28 nt
Filed under: Mus musculus (house mouse)
Lineage: Eukaryota; Metazoa; Chordata; Mammalia; Rodentia; Muridae
Source: RNAcentral
UAGGAACAGUUCUUCCACGGCCCUACUC